UACGUAGGUGGCAAGCGUUAUCCGGAAUUAUUGGGCGUAAAGAGCUCGUAGGCGGUUUGUCGCGUCUGCCGUGAAAGUCCGGGGCUCAACUCCGGAUCUGCGGUGGGUACGGGCAGACUAGAGUGAUGUAGGGGAGACUGGAAUUCCUGGUGUAGCGGUGAAAUGCGCAGAUAUCAGGAGGAACACCAAUGGCGAAGGCAGCUCGCUGGGACGGUACUGACGCUGAGGUGCGAAAGCGUGGGGAGCAAACAGG
This 253-nucleotide ribosomal RNA is filed under the name uncultured bacterium. RNAcentral describes it as "partial 16S ribosomal RNA". It matches the Rfam family "Bacterial small subunit ribosomal RNA", at positions 524 to 776 of the family's 1533-position model. The record is from RNAcentral.